Manis pentadactyla (Chinese pangolin) is the source of this 729-nucleotide long non-coding RNA. RefSeq lists it as uncharacterized. The record is from RefSeq and is a predicted model, not a curated record. The transcript is spliced from 3 exons. NCBI's taxonomy places the organism in Eukaryota, Metazoa, Chordata, Mammalia, Pholidota, Manidae.
GCAGCUGCGACAGCAGUUCUUCCUAACAAUAUUGGCUUCGGCUGGUAUUAAAAAGGGCCCCUAAGUGCCACGAACAUCUUUACUAGGAGAAGAGACCACGCCGUGGAGGAGGGGAGGUGCAGAAACUAAAGCGGCCAGUGAUGGUGAAACGAGAGUGAAGCAGCAGCCCUGGAAGCAAAAGCACUAGAAGGGAAGAUGGCCCUUCCUGUCCUUUUGCCACAGGGCCACCUUCCUGCAGAGCACCAGCCUCUGAAGCAAGCUGCCCUCAUCACCAUUCAAAGUUGUUGGACCUGAAGACUAAGGGCCUGGCCUCCACAAACUUGGUUGGCCAGGUAUACUCAGGCUGAGAGCCUCUUUCCCAUUUCUGCCCCAGCCAGGGUUGAGUCUGGGAAACGUUUUGACCAAGAAUCCAGAAUCUAGCAGCAGACCCCUGCCCUGCUAGUUGCCUUCCAAAGCAAGAACUGGAAGUUGUCAAACAGGCAUUGGUGCCCCAGGAAGUUCACCAGGGAGAAGUCAGAUCUGGGUUCCAGGCCACCUCCCAGCUGGCAUAUUUAACCUCUCUAACUGCUACUUCCUCAACCAUAAACCUAGGGCAAUAAUGCCUGCUCUACCUACCUACCUCACCAGGCUGCCGUGAGGAUCAAAUGAGAUUAUAGGCCUGCAAGCCCUUUGAAAAAUAAAAAGCAAUCACCCAACCUGGUUAUGCUAUUAUUAUUAUUGCUCUUUUGA